CACAAUAAAUAAAUUGCACUUGAUUAGCAUACACAUAUUAUAUUAUAUUCUUGAUAAGUGAUUUAACUUUAUAAAAAAAUGAAUUACCUUUUUCGAAAGGGAUGAUCAGGCUGUAUAAACAGAGUCGUCUCUUUUUGUUAGUUGAGUCACUAUUGAUGCAAAAAUAUAGAUAGAGAUACAACAUGGAGAGGAAGAGAACUAAAAUAAACGGAGAAGAAGAAUCCCCCAUAAAAUUACCAGUAAUGGUAUUCCCGUCUAUGAGUUACUUAUUGAUUAUCUUAUCAUAUACCUGCGUA
This 296-nucleotide long non-coding RNA is filed under the name Brassica napus (rape). Its description in RNAcentral is "long non-coding RNA (BNAP_LNC000391)". The record is from RNAcentral. Lineage: Eukaryota; Viridiplantae; Streptophyta; Magnoliopsida; Brassicales; Brassicaceae.